Molecule: ribosomal RNA, 669 nt
Filed under: uncultured bacterium
Lineage: Bacteria
Description: bacterial SSU rRNA
Rfam family: Bacterial small subunit ribosomal RNA
Source: RNAcentral
ACACAUGCAGUCGAGCGGAUGACAGGAGCUUGCUCCUGAAUUCAGCGGCGGACGGGUGAGUAAUGCCUAGGAAUCUGCCUGGUAGUGGGGGACAACGUUUCGUAAGGAACGCUAAUACCGCAUACGUCCUACGGGAGAAAGCAGGGGACCUUCGGGCCUUGCGCUAUCAGAUGAGCCUAGGUCGGAUUAGCUAGUUGGUGAGGUAAUGGCUCACCAAGGCGACGAUCCGUAACUGGUCUGAGAGGAUGAUCAGUCACACUGGAACUGAGACACGGUCCAGACUCCUACGGGAGGCAGCAGUGGGGAAUAUUGGACAAUGGGCGAAAGCCUGAUCCAGCCAUGCCGCGUGUGUGAAGAAGGUCUUCGGAUUGUAAAGCACUUUAAGUUGGGAGGAAGGGCAUUAACCUAAUACGUUAGUGUUUUGACGUUACCGACAGAAUAAGCGCCGGCUAACUCUGUGCCAGCAGCCGCGGUAAUACAGAGGGUGCAAGCGUUAAUCGGAAUCACUGGGCGUAAAGCGCGCGUAGGUGGUUUGUUAAGUUGGAUGUGAAAUCCCCGGGCUCAACCUGGGAACUGCAUUCAAAACUGACAAGCUAGAGUAUGGUAGAGGGUGGUGGAAUUUCCUGUGUAGCGGUGAAAUGCGUAGAUAUAGGAAGGAACACCAGUGGC